This 22-nucleotide microRNA is filed under the name Nautilus pompilius. RNAcentral's name for it is "Npo-Mir-252-P1_5p (mature (guide))". The record is from RNAcentral. Lineage: Eukaryota; Metazoa; Mollusca; Cephalopoda; Nautilida; Nautilidae.
CUAAGUAGUGGCGCUGCAGGUA